This 222-nucleotide long non-coding RNA is filed under the name Phoenix dactylifera (date palm). Its description in RNAcentral is "long non-coding RNA (PDAC_LNC012998)". Lineage: Eukaryota; Viridiplantae; Streptophyta; Magnoliopsida; Arecales; Arecaceae. The record is from RNAcentral.
AAAAGGGUUUGAAUCCUAUGAUCAUCACCAUAUGCAGCAAUUAUAAUUUUCAGAUCUAAGAAUUAAUUGAUUAUGUUAUGACAUAGGUUGCUGAUCAUGCUAAUCAUGAUUCUAAACUUUGUAAUCUCAUUAACAAUGCAAUUAGAAUCAUCAUCUUAUCACAUAAAAAUCAGCAUGCAAAAAUUCAGGAACCCUAAAAAAUCUGCAUGCAGAAAUUUUCAG